This 323-nucleotide ribosomal RNA is filed under the name uncultured bacterium. RNAcentral describes it as "bacterial SSU rRNA". It matches the Rfam family "Bacterial small subunit ribosomal RNA", at positions 28 to 334 of the family's 1533-position model. The record is from RNAcentral.
GAUGAACGCUGGCGGCGUGCUUAACACAUGCAAGUCGAGCGAAGCACUUAAGUUUGAUUCUUCGGAUGAAGACUUUUGUGACUGAGCGGCGACGGGUGAGUAACGCGUGGGUAACCUGCCUCGUACAGGGGGAUAACAGUUAGAAAUGACUGCUAAUACCGCAUAAGACCACAGGAACGCAUGAUCCGGUGGUAAAAACUCCGGUGGUAUGAGAUGGACCCGCGUCUGAUUAGCUAGUUGGUGGGGUAACGGCUCACCAAGGCGACGAUCAGUAGCCGACCUGAGAGGGUGACCGGCCACAUUGGGACUGAGACACGGCCCAA